UCCAUAGCGACGGGGUACGCGAAGUGACAAAAUGAAUGGGACUUUGGUGAUAUGCGUGAUGAAUAGGACAGCGGCACAAAAGAUACUAUGAAUGAUCUUUGAACUUGAUUACAACUGGCACAAUGAAAUGGGGAAAAGGAAACAGCACACUGACCCGUGUCAUACAUUUGUUCCAAAGAUCAGUGAGACUAGCAAGAAACUCGCACUGCGAAGGCUAGAGAACUUGGAUACGAAAGGCAUACCCCAUUUUAUGCUGGAAACCAGAAGCAAAGUCAAAUUGCAUGAGCCACUUGAACCUAUUCCGCCAAUAUCACCAAAUUACAGUUAUCCAACUGUCAAAGAAGGAUGGGUUAAAGGUUUUCACAAAUCAAAAGUAAAUGAUUGUGCUAUAAGCCCAGACACUGACGGAAUCGUUUCUCCACCAGUCAUGAGCAAAAAUGCUGUACUUCCACCCAGAAGGGUCGACUUGGAUGAGAAUAUUUUCACUUUUCGUCCAAAAGUCAGUUCAGCUAGUGUAAGAAUAGCUGAAAACCUCGGUUCAGAUUUCAUGUCUAGGCAACAACAGCAUUUGGAUCGGCAAAAGAAACUUAUUGAGCAGGCAACACUUCAUCAUCGUAUAGAGAACGCCUAUCUGUCUCCCUUUAACAGCAGUCGUAAACUUAGGGAGAAAGUGUUAAAAGAAUGUGGGGAUGCUAACAAUAAUGCUGUAUCACCGGAGGGGCCAGACAGCCAGCUAGGCAGCACACGCACGGACUCGGACGGAGGGGACGCAGAGACGGACACCAUGUGUCCAGCACAGACCUUCCCCAAGACACAUGUCAGCGCGACCGGGCUGCAGAGGCUGCUGGAUGGUCCCUACACUAAUGGUGCCCAGGACAUGGUGAUGAAGCGCCACCAGGCUCGCUACCACUCCCACCCGACCUUCAGUAAACAGAGGCUUCUUGUUGACUCAGGGGACAGUGAAGUGAAAGGAGAUGACUCAGAUGUGUCCAGUAGCUUGUCACGCAGCAAGACCAUGCCAUCACUGGGACGUCCCAAACUCACUCGGAGGCUGACGGGGGUGGCAGAUGGGGAGAGGUUACGUCAAGCCAAGGAGAUUGUAGAGAAAGCAAUUAAGUACCGCAAGGUGUUCACCAUCCAAGGUGGCUACUCCGUGAUUCGCCAGAGUCUGCGUCGCAGGGGUUGGGUGGAGAAGUUCUACCGGAUACCUGGGCCGGGCAAGAAGGCUAACAAGUCCAAACAUAAGAGAACAUCUGAUGACGAUGAUAGUGAUGAUGACGAUGAUGAUGGUGGUGGUGCCACUGAUGGCAAUGACAAUACUGAUGGCAAUGAUGAUGAUGAUGAUAAUGAUGAUGACAACGAUGAUGACAACCAUGAUGGUGGUGACCAUCCAAAGAUACCACCCUGGGAGGAGGAUGAUGGCUUGUAUGGAAUCAUGUCACGGAUGGUUCGCAAUGUGAACCCGUCAUUCAUCUGGGUGUUGAAGAGAGAUGUGAUAGACUACCGCUUCCUGUCAAAGGAGCAGAUGGUCAAUCAUUACUGCAAGGCUGGAUCAUUCACCACCAAGGUUGGUUUGUGCGUCAACAUGAAGAAUGUGCCGUGGUAUGACAACGCUGACCCUGACAUGUUCUUUCCCCGAUGUUAUCGACUCAGCCAGGAGGAGGACAAGGCAGCCUUCAUAGACGACUACCGGCUGACGGCUUGCAUGAACAUCAUCAAGAUUGUGGUGAGUCAGAGCAUGGAUGGUACUGUACAACCCAAGGAGACAGGGGAAGACACGCCCACCUCCCCUGCCUGUACUAACCCCGAGUGUACCCGAUCUGUACCCAACUCCACCUCCGGCAACAAGUGUGUCCACACACAGAAGGGGGAGGAAGACAAACAGGCGGAGGACAAAGAUGAACCCAAGGAUUCAUCCGAUUCAUCCAAACCCUCAUCAUUAACGCCCCGGGGGAAGAAGCCCAAGAAGAAGGUGCAGGUGCCCUUGCGAGUUCUGGAGCAGGCCAUGUAUAGAUGUGAGCAGUUCCUCGCCUCCAAGGACCACGAUGAUAUUGAUGUUCAUCAUGAUCCUAUGACUCUGACAGAUGGCCAGUGGGAUCAGCUGAUCCAGCACUACUAUCACCUGGCACAUGACGAGGGCAUCAUGCAGUCUGUGGCUCAGAACAUCCUCGGCCAGUGUGAGAGUCUUCUCAACAGACUCAAGACAAGAUGGCCUCAGUAUGAGAUGGACGGCGCUCGAAAUGUCUGGAUUGUCAAACCUGGGGCCAAGUCAAGAGGGAGAGGUAUCAUAUGCUAUGACAGAAUCGAGGACAUGUUGAAGCUGGUCAACUCCCAGGUUGUGCGGAAAGACAGCAAGUUUGUUGUGCAGAAGUAUAUAGAGCGGCCAUUGUUGAUCUACAACACCAAGUUCGACAUCCGCCAGUGGUUCCUGGUGACGGACUGGAAUCCCCUGACUAUCUGGUUCUACCAGGACAGCUACCUGCGCUUCUGUUCCCAGCAGUACACGCUGGAUGACUUCAACGAGGCAAUCCACCUCUCCAACAAUGCCAUACAGAAGCACAAGAAGAACGGUCCCCGCUCCAACAAGCUGCCCAGUGACAACAUGUGGACCCACGAGGACUUCCAGGAAUAUCUCAAGACUCGGAAGCAGGCUACUGCGUGGGAGGACAUCAUCUACCCUGGGAUGAAGAAAGCACUCAUCUGUGCCCUCCUGGUGACUCAGGAUAUCAUAGAGUACAGGAAGGCGUCUUUUGAGUUGUACGGUGCUGACUUCAUGCUGACGGAGGACUGCCAGCCCCUGCUGAUCGAGAUCAACUCCUCACCAAGCAUGGAGGCCAGCACGCCCAUCACAGCCCGACUCUGUACCAACGUCCUCGAGGACACCAUCAAAGUUGCAGUAGACAGGAAAUAUGACCGAAAUUGCGAUAUUGGUCGCUUUGAGCUUGCUUACAAGCAACCAUUGGUGACAGUGCCGCCAUACAUUGGCAUCAAUCUCAGUGUGGAUGGCCAGGCCAUUCGCAAACCAGGAGUACGUAGGCCUGAUGUUGCCAUUCCAGUGGAACCCUACUUCACUCCACGGAAUAGUGUCCGACAAAGUUUGUCCAAUGAGAAAGUGGCCGAAACUAAGAAGUCAGGGGGAAGUAACUCUGUGCCAGCAGCAGGGAAGUCAAGUGGCGAGGGUGGGAAAUCCACAGGAUCUUCCAAAGCCAGCAGUUCCGAGUCUGGCAAUACUAAGGGACAUUCUACCAAGUCAGAGCCAGUAUCUCAGGACUCGGGUCACAAAGCUUCAGUUAUAAUGGUAUCGAAAUCGGAGAGUAAAAGAUCGGAAUAUGUUGAUAGUCACCACUCUAUAAAGAAUCAUCCCCAGCCUCCAUCGCAUCCCAAAGUGUGCACUCAGACGCCUUAUCUGGCAGGACUGACAACUCGGCGGAUUGUAUCACGGACGUCUGUGUCGAACAACUACACGAUCCCACCCACGAUAAUGGACAGGCAAAACAAGGCCACUGUGUCCGUUAACAAUGUGGAGUCCACAGACUUAAAGACAAUGAAAUCCACUGGAGUUGUCAAAGGUAAAAAGCGGCGUAGGAAACAAGGCCAGGCUCGGCCAAAACUUGGACCAAUCAAAUUGACAAUGACCAGCAAAUCGUCGCCGUACACUGUGGUGCGCAAACUUCCUCUCGUUAAGGUCCCUAUCUUUAACAAGCACAGCUGACCUUGUCUGAUCUAGGUCCAGACAUCGGUCAGUUUGUACGCACCAGAAACGAAAGAAAAAACAUUCGCAGUAGAAGGUUGUGUAGAUGCAUUAAUCGACGGCACAUGGGGCCGAACUUGUAGUGAGUGUGGGGGUGGAAUGAACUUACAUCUCGAUAACGUCAACCCUAACUGCC
Molecule: unclassified non-coding RNA, 3887 nt
Filed under: Haliotis rufescens (red abalone)
Lineage: Eukaryota; Metazoa; Mollusca; Gastropoda; Lepetellida; Haliotidae
Description: tubulin tyrosine ligase 3-like, transcript variant X8
Source: RNAcentral